AUGUUCUUGCAGCUUAAGGCACUCAUUCAGGGUGUGUAUCUUGGGCAUUACAUGCUCGAUAGGUGCAAGGCAGUCUCAGGAAGUACUUGUUUGUUGUGGAUUUCAUCUUAUGAUGUGGAUGAGACGACAUGGGCAAACUUCCAAUCAUAUUUGCAGAAGUUGCCAGGCACUGAGAUCAAAAUUGUAGUGACAGGCAGAGCAGAGCAAGUUGCAAACUUGGGGACUGCUCAACCCAUCAGGCUGAAGAGUCUGUCUGAAGAAGAGUCCUGGUACUACUUAAAGGCACUUGCCUUUGGAAGCAUGGAUCCCGAUGAGCAUCCAAAACUGGCAUCUUUGGGUAUGCAACUAGCAACACUCCUACAGGGAUUAUUUCUUGGUGCAAAUAUACGAGCCACUAAGAGCGAGCCCAAAUGCUCAAUUCUUGCGUGGUGUAUUAUGUAG
Molecule: ribosomal RNA, 441 nt
Filed under: Triticum aestivum (bread wheat)
Lineage: Eukaryota; Viridiplantae; Streptophyta; Magnoliopsida; Poales; Poaceae
Description: partial small subunit ribosomal RNA
Source: RNAcentral